Molecule: ribosomal RNA, 1013 nt
Filed under: Salmonella enterica
Lineage: Bacteria; Pseudomonadati; Pseudomonadota; Gammaproteobacteria; Enterobacterales; Enterobacteriaceae
Also listed under: 3 other names
Description: partial 23S ribosomal RNA
Rfam family: Bacterial large subunit ribosomal RNA
Source: RNAcentral
UGGGCGUUAAGUUGCAGGGUAUAGACCCGAAACCCGGUGAUCUAGCCAUGGGCAGGUUGAAGGUUGGGUAACACUAACUGGAGGACCGAACCGACUAAUGUUGAAAAAUUAGCGGAUGACCUGUGGCUGGGGGUGAAAGGCCAAUCAAACCGGGAGAUAGCUGGUUCUCCCCGAAAGCUAUUUAGGUAGCGCCUCGUGAAUUCAUCUCCGGGGGUAGAGCACUGUUUCGGCUAGGGGGCCAUCCCGGCUUACCAACCCGAUGCAAACUGCGAAUACCGGAGAAUGUUAUCACGGGAGACACACGGCGGGUGCUAACGUCCGUCGUGAAGAGGGAAACAACCCAGACCGCCAGCUAAGGUCCCAAAGUCAUGGUUAAGUGGGAAACGAUGUGGGAAGGCCCAGACAGCCAGGAUGUUGGCUUAGAAGCAGCCAUCAUUUAAAGAAAGCGUAAUAGCUCACUGGUCGAGUCGGCCUGCGCGGAAGAUGUAACGGGGCUAAACCAUGCACCGAAGCUGCGGCAGCGAACGUAUCACCCAAGACAACUUUACGGAGUUGACGAUUGACGGAGCGAAGCGACGUCAAAGCGUUCAUUAAAGUCGAGUUGGCUUAGGGAUACGUUCGUUGGGUAGGGGAGCGUUCUGUAAGCCUGUGAAGGUGUGUCGUGAGGCAUGCUGGAGGUAUCAGAAGUGCGAAUGCUGACAUAAGUAACGAUAAAGCGGGUGAAAAGCCCGCUCGCCGGAAGACCAAGGGUUCCUGUCCAACGUUAAUCGGGGCAGGGUGAGUCGACCCCUAAGGCGAGGCCGAAAGGCGUAGUCGAUGGGAAACGGGUUAAUAUUCCCGUACUUGGUGUUACUGCGAAGGGGGGACGGAGAAGGCUAUGUUGGCCGGGCGACGGUUGUCCCGGUUUAAGCGUGUAGGUGUGUGUUCCAGGUAAAUCCGGUUCACUUUAACACUGAGGCGUGACGACGAGGCACUACGGUGCUGAAGCAACAAAUGCCCUGCUUCCAGGAAAA